Molecule: ribosomal RNA, 253 nt
Filed under: uncultured bacterium
Lineage: Bacteria
Description: partial 16S ribosomal RNA
Rfam family: Bacterial small subunit ribosomal RNA
Source: RNAcentral
UACGUAGGGGGCUGGCGUUGUCCGGAAUCAUUGGGCGUAAAGCGCGUGUAGGCGGUUCGGUAAGUCCGCUGUGAAAGUCGGAGGCUCAACCCUCGGAUGCCGGUGGAUACUGUCGGGCUUGAGUACGGAAGAGGCGAGUGGAAUUCCUGGUGUAGCGGUGAAAUGCGCAGAUAUCAGGAGGAACACCAAUUGCGAAGGCAGCUCGCUGGGACGUUACUGACGCUGAGACGCGAAAGCGUGGGGAGCAAACAGG